AGAGUUUGAUCCUGGCUCAGAACGAACGCUGGCGGCAGGCCUAACACAUGCAAGUCGAACGCCCCGCAAGGGGAGUGGCAGACGGGUGAGUAACACGUGGGAACAUGCCCUUUGGUUCGGAAUAACUCAGGGAAACUUGAGCUAAUACCGGAUAAGCCCGAGAGGGGAAAGAUUUAUCGCCAAAGGAUUGGCCCGCGUCCGAUUAGCUAGUUGGUGAGGUAACGGCCCACCAAGGCGACGAUCGGUAGCUGGUCUGAGAGGAUGAUCAGCCACAUUGGGACUGAGACACGGCCCAAACUCCUACGGGAGGCAGCAGUGGGGAAUAUUGGACAAUGGGCGAAAGCCUGAUCCAGCCAUGCCGCGUGAGUGAUGAAGGCCCUAGGGUUGUAAAGCUCUUUCGUCAGGGACGAUAAUGACGGUACCUGAAGAAGAAGCCCCGGCUAACUUCGUGCCAGCAGCCGCGGUAAUACGAAGGGGGCUAGCGUUGUUCGGAAUCACUGGGCGUAAAGCGCACGUAGGCGGAUCUUUAAGUCAGGGGUGAAAUCCCGAGGCUCAACCUCGGAACUGCCUUUGAUACUGGGGAUCUCGAGUCCGGGAGAGGUGAGUGGAAUUGCGAGUGUAGAGGUGAAAUUCGUAGAUAUUCGCAAGAACACCAGUGGCGAAGGCGGCUCACUGGCCCGGUACUGACGCUGAGGUGCGAAAGCGUGGGGAGCAAACAGGAUUAGAUACCCUGGUAGUCCACGCCGUAAACGAUGGAUGCUAGCCGUUAGACAGCCUGCUGUUUAGUGGCGCAGUUAACGCUUUAAGCAUCCCGC
This 815-nucleotide ribosomal RNA is filed under the name uncultured bacterium. Its description in RNAcentral is "bacterial SSU rRNA". It matches the Rfam family "Bacterial small subunit ribosomal RNA", at positions 8 to 872 of the family's 1533-position model. The record is from RNAcentral.